AACAAAGGAAAAGAAAAGUUUAGUGCGAGAGAAGGGAUAGACAGAGGAAAGGAAAAGAUAGUUGUUUGCUUACAGAAAGACCUCAACUUUAAUCUUCUCAGAUCCUAUUUCUACCCGUCGUUUCUAGAUCUGCCGGCCAAUUUCCGUUUCCGCGUCAGUUUCUUUGUGGGUUGAUGAUGAUCGGUUAAAGGAUCGGACUCGGACAGAUCCACCACAGAUAAAGAAAAAGUAGUAGUAGUAGUAGUAGAAGAAGAGCUGUAGUUUGAAGGAUUUCUGGAUUGGUAUUUGAUGUUGAGAGACAGGGAAGUUACUCCUUUGGAUGGUUUCUAAGUAAGGUGAGUAGUUUAUCUAGAUGAGUAAUUCUAUAUGUAGGAGCUUUUUUUUAUUUUCCUUUGCUUAAAUUUGAACUUUGAUUUGGAUACUUCAAAAUCUUUACUUGUCAAUUUUCUUUAUAUGCUCUAGUUUCCAGUCUUGUUUAAUGGAGUUUAACUGUUUUCUUUGUUGUUUCUAUUUCCCAAUUUAGCUGGUAGAUUCAUUAAUUAAUGUUUAGAAUCUUAGCAAGUUUGGAAUACAAAAGUAUUCUGGGUUGGUGUAGUUUCUUAUGAAGUCCUGAUUUUUAUUCAAAAACUAUGGUGAUAGUUGUGUGCGGUCAGAUUUUCUAGGGGAAGAGAUGGAAGAGGUGGGCACUCAAGUAGCCCCUUCAAUCUAUAUUCACCCAUCACUUUCGGGUCGGUUCCUCGAGUCGCAUCCCAUGGCUAAGAAGCGCAGUAUGCCUUUCCAGCCGACCAAUUUUCACCUCCAGCAGCUGCAGCCUCCGCGGCAGCCUCAGCAGUUCGUCUCGGGGUUUCAGGACUCCAGGGAGCACUGGCACCCUAAGGCAUGGGACUGGGACAGCGCGAGGUUUCUGGCGAAGCCAUUGGAAUCUGAUGUACUACGUGCGGGUACUUCGACAUCUGUUCAAUCUGAGACACAAAGGAGCAGAGAUGAUGAAACUGGUGCAGCAAAUUCAGGAAUUUUAAGGAAGAAUCAUGUGGGGGAAGACGACGAAAGCCUCCUUCUGCAGCUCGGUGGAGGCCGUGUAAAUUCUGUUGAGGAGCCUGUGUCAAGGCCAAACAAGAGAGUAAGAUCUGGAUCUCCUGGUGGUGGAAACUAUCCCAUGUGUCAAGUAGAUAAUUGCAAGGAGGAUCUAUCAAAUGCGAAAGACUAUCAUAGGCGGCACAAGGUGUGUGAAGUCCAUAGUAAAGCCACUAAGGCCUUAGUGGGGAAGCAGAUGCAGAGGUUUUGUCAACAGUGCAGCAGGUUUGUGAAUUCAUUUCACCGAUUUAACACCAUAUUAUCGUGUUGUGUUAAUAAUUUGUGUUUAUGGAUUAUUGUCUAUUUUCUUUGUGAAUUGCAUUGUUGUCGCGAUGGAACUUUUUUCACCAUAAGUUGCUUGCAAUUAUUAUGACCACUUCUGCCUCUGUUAUAUGUUUCUCAACCUGAGUUAUGCACUCCAUUUUCCCUAGGUUUCACCCUCUUUCAGAGUUUGACGAGGGAAANNNNNNNNNNNNNNNNNNNNNNNNNNNNNNNNNNNNNNNNNNNNNNNNNNNNNNNNNNNNNNNNNNNNNNNNNNNNNNNNNNNNNNNNNNNNNNNNNNNNAAAAAAUGAUAGUUACACAAUCUCUCUUUCACAUAAAUAGUAAAUAAAUUCCACAUUUAUAUGAGCGUGAACUUAUAAAAAUAUCAAAAUUUUCUUAUAAAAAUAUUAAUUAUCUUCAUUUAAUAUAAUUCGGUACAUAUACAAGUUUAUUGUUAAACAAAGUCGAUAUAAAUUUUAAGUACAAUUCUAUAUUUUUUUUUAGACAAAACUCAAAAGGGGACCUUACGCUCUUGUAUGAGGUAACCUUAGCAUCGUUUUGCAUAACUCCUUUUAUAUGAGCUUUGCUCCCCUCCGUUAUACUUUGAAUUUUAUUUAAUACACCAUAUUUUUAUAAUUUUAGAAGAUAUAUAUUUAUAAUAUAGUAUAGUUAGUUCAAAAUAAAAGUAAUCCGAUAUUUUUUUAUCAUUUGAUAAAUAUAUGAAUAUCUUAUUAAAAUUUCAAUAGUUGAAAUUUCUUUUAAACUUUUAACAGUAAAAUUAUUCUUAUUGAUGCUAUUUUUUUUUGUAGCUAGGAAUGAUCUUAAUAGCAUAAACUAUUUAUUAACAUAUUUUAAUUAUUACUAACAAAAUUAUUAAGAUAAAAUAAUUAAUGUAUUAGGUGGAAUUGAAAAAAAUGUGUAAUGGACGAGAGUCAAAUCCCUUCCGUAUGUUAUGUAUUUAAUAAUUUUCUAUUAUUAUUAUUAUUAUAAAAGAAUAUUUUAUGCAAGAGCAUGAGAUAUGUGAACACGAGACAUACUUGGAGGUAACGCGAGUCUAUAGGCUACGUUUCCUAUUCGGUCAAGAAUCUCAAAUGGACCAACAAACCUUGGAUUGAGCUUUCCUCUUUUCCCAAAUCUUGUAACUCCUUUCCAUGGAGCAAUACGUAACAAUACAUGAUCUCNNNNNNNNNNNNNNNNNNNNNNNNNNNNNNNNNNNNNNNNNNNNNNNNNNNNNNNNNNNNNNNNNNNNNNNNNNNNNNNNNNNNNNNNNNNNNNNNNNNNGCUUUGCUCCCCUCCGUUAUACUUUGAAUUUUAUUUAAUACACCAUAUUUUUAUAAUUUUAGAAGAUAUAUAUUUAUAAUAUAGUAUAGUUAGUUCAAAAUAAAAGUAAUCCGAUAUUUUUUUAUCAUUUGAUAAAUAUAUGAAUAUCUUAUUAAAAUUUCAAUAGUUGAAAUUUCUUUUAAACUUUUAACAGUAAAAUUAUUCUUAUUGAUUCUAUUUUUUUUUGUAGCUAGGAAUGAUCUUAAUAGCAUAAACUAUUUAUUAACAUAUUUUAAUUAUUACUAACAAAAUUAUUAAGAUAAAAUAAUUAAUGUAUUAGGUGGAAUUGAAAAAAAUGUGUAAUGGACGAGAGUCAAAUCCCUUCCGUAUGUUAUGUAUUUAAUAAUUUUCUAUUAUUAUUAUUAUUAUAAAAGAAUAUUUUAUGCAAGAGCAUGAGAUAACGUGGUUUAAACUUAUUUUAAAAUAGGCAAAAUAAAAAUAUGGAAUAUCAUUUAGAACCAAAUAAAAUGCAUUCUGUUAUGCUGUUUGUCACUUGUUCAAUUGAUAACGUGAAUUGUCAAAAUUGUCCGCCUCUUUAAUUCCUUAUGGUAUAUCCUUGGAAGAGAACAGACGACUGAUUAGGCAAUACCAUACACGGUUUUAGCCUAUCUUUUGUCAGUUUUCCUGAGGUUGUGUAUCUUUUUUUUUUUAACAAUGUUAUUAUCAUAUAAAAAAAAAUUAUAUAAUAUUCACAUAUACAUAUAUGCAUAUAUAUAUAUAUUAUGUGACUAUUUUUAUGUAAUAAUAACAUUAUCUAUCUUUUUUCUUUUUUUUUGCUAAAACCAAACCAACCCAAAAAGAUUAAAAGGAGCGCAAGGAUAAAAGUAAUUAACUAAAAUAUCUCAUUCAUUAUGUAUGUUGUGGAUAUUAUUUUAUCAUGAUCUUUGGUAGUUAAUAUAUUAUUCAUUAUUUUAUGGAUUUGAGUUUUUAAAUAUUUAAUUUAAUCUAUUCAUGGAGUAGAACACAUUAAUAUAUGGAAUCAUUAAAAAUAAUUAAUGACACCUAUAUUAAUUUAAGCUCAAAUUUCAACAAUAUUCACAUACACAUAUGUAUAUUGUGGGCCUCCGUCUGAUAUUUGGGAUUUAUAAAUAUAUAUAUAUGUGUAUAUGUGAAUAUUAUGUGACUAUUUUUUAUAUAAUAGUAACAUUAUUUAUCUUUUUUUUUCUUGCUAAAACCAAACCAUAAAGAUUAAAAGGAGCGCAAGCAAAAUUAGGAUAAAAGUAAUUAACUAAAAUUUCAAAAUAUUAAUGCAAAUACUCAUAUUUUGUCGAAAGUGGUUAGUAUAGUUUAUUUUUGGGUAAGUUGGUCAAUUGGCCAAUAAAAUAUUGACACGCAGAUCAAAGUCUAUGUGUGUUACAUCCAUUUUGUCUGAACCUACAUGUCAUGUUAUGUCAUGUCUGUAGAAGAACAAAAUCUGGAAGAAGGGUUUUGGACUACUAUCCAAUUAACUUAUGUGUUAAUUGCGACCAUGUUUUAAUGAUAAAACUAUUCUAUUACCCGCGCGAGACACUUAUAUAUAUAUAUAUAGUCGUAAUAAUAUCAAAAAGGUUGGACCAAUAAAUAAUAAUAAUAAUAAUGUAAUUCAUAUGAUUUUAAUUUUGUUAAAAAUUACAAUUACCAUAUACUAUUAUUGUUCAUAAUAGUAUUGGUGGAAAAUAGCCGAAAUUGCUACAUGGGGAUUCUCACUAAAAGUUUUGUACGUAGUAACUUGUGAGUGCCAAAAUAGAUUUUAUUCAUAUCGAUUUUUAUGGAUUUAAUUAGCACAUACUACUUAUUUCCUUUUAUUACUAAAAGAAAAAGAAUUUGUUAUACGCAAAAUCACUUUAUUCAAAGAUUAUGACAAACUUAUUUUAAUUAGAUUGUCACCCAAGAAUUGAGACAACUAAAUUGGCUGGCUUAAAAUAUAAAUAUAGAUACAACCUGAUUUUUAAAAUUUUAAUUGAAAUGACUUGAUUAUUUUAUUAAAAAAAACAAUGUAAUCAUCAUAGUUUGAAAAUCUUACCAUUAUAAUUAGAAAUACAAGUAUUGAUUUGUUAAUUGAAUGUCAUCAAGUAACAUGCAAAUAAUUACAUUAAGUUGUUAGUAUAUGGAUCGGAUCGGAUCCUAACAAAAAAUAACUCCUCAUCUAAUUUAAAACUAAAAAGAUAAAAGUAAAAUAAAAUAGUGCGAUAAAUACCUCACUCACUCGCUCGCUCGCUAAAGUUGAAAUAAUGAUGUACUAUAUAUAUAAUACUACUACUCAAAGUAUUAGGUGAACAAAGUUAUUGUACACUUGUUUUGGAGAUAAACUUAAACAAAAUGGUGUCUUCAAGUUUUGUUUUAGUUACAAGAGAAGAGAAGAGAAAAUGAGGGAGAAUUGGUUCAUUUUCUCUCUUUUUUAAUUAUUAUUAUUAUUAUAAUAACUUAAUAAUUUCACAUUAAUUAAAUUAAGAAAGGAAUUUUUUUUAUCAAUCAUCAAUAUAUAAUUCUAUAAAACAAAAGAAUUUACAUUUUUUUCCCUUUUAAUUGGUGGCACUAUUUUGAUUUCUUUCCUCCCAAUGCCAACAGAGUAAAAUGGAAGUGGCGUGGAGUCUUCCAAGUCCGCGGCAGAGCCAAACUUUUAACCCCUAAAUCUUCUUUUAAUUUACCGUUUUUGCCAAACUGGUACGGACGAAGGAGAAGAAAACAAAGGAAAAGAAAAGUUUAGUGCGAGAGAAGGGAUAGACAGAGGAAAGGAAAAGAUAGUUGUUUGCUUACAGAAAGACCUCAACUUUAAUCUUCUCAGAUCCUAUUUCUACCCGUCGUUUCUAGAUCUGCCGGCCAAUUUCCGUUUCCGCGUCAGUUUCUUUGUGGGUUGAUGAUGAUCGGUUAAAGGAUCGGACUCGGACAGAUCCACCACAGAUAAAGAAAAAGUAGUAGUAGUAGUAGUAGAAGAAGAGCUGUAGUUUGAAGGAUUUCUGGAUUGGUAUUUGAUGUUGAGAGACAGGGAAGUUACUCCUUUGGAUGGUUUCUAAGUAAGGUGAGUAGUUUAUCUAGAUGAGUAAUUCUAUAUGUAGGAGCUUUUUUUUAUUUUCCUUUGCUUAAAUUUGAACUUUGAUUUGGAUACUUCAAAAUCUUUACUUGUCAAUUUUCUUUAUAUGCUCUAGUUUCCAGUCUUGUUUAAUGGAGUUUAACUGUUUUCUUUGUUGUUUCUAUUUCCCAAUUUAGCUGGUAGAUUCAUUAAUUAAUGUUUAGAAUCUUAGCAAGUUUGGAAUACAAAAGUAUUCUGGGUUGGUGUAGUUUCUUAUGAAGUCCUGAUUUUUAUUCAAAAACUAUGGUGAUAGUUGUGUGCGGUCAGAUUUUCUAGGGGAAGAGAUGGAAGAGGUGGGCACUCAAGUAGCCCCUUCAAUCUAUAUUCACCCAUCACUUUCGGGUCGGUUCCUCGAGUCGCAUCCCAUGGCUAAGAAGCGCAGUAUGCCUUUCCAGCCGACCAAUUUUCACCUCCAGCAGCUGCAGCCUCCGCGGCAGCCUCAGCAGUUCGUCUCGGGGUUUCAGGACUCCAGGGAGCACUGGCACCCUAAGGCAUGGGACUGGGACAGCGCGAGGUUUCUGGCGAAGCCAUUGGAAUCUGAUGUACUACGUGCGGGUACUUCGACAUCUGUUCAAUCUGAGACACAAAGGAGCAGAG
RNAcentral lists this long non-coding RNA (6302 nucleotides) under Panax ginseng (ginseng). RNAcentral describes it as "long non-coding RNA (PGIN_LNC010086)". The record is from RNAcentral. Lineage: Eukaryota; Viridiplantae; Streptophyta; Magnoliopsida; Apiales; Araliaceae.